RNAcentral lists this ribosomal RNA (468 nucleotides) under uncultured bacterium. RNAcentral describes it as "partial 16S ribosomal RNA". It matches the Rfam family "Bacterial small subunit ribosomal RNA", at positions 28 to 507 of the family's 1533-position model. The record is from RNAcentral.
GACGAACGCUGGCGGCGUGCUUAACACAUGCAAGUCGAACGGAAAGGCCCUGCUUUUGUGGGGUGCUCGAGUGGCGAACGGGUGAGUAACACGUGAGUAACCUGCCCUUGACUUUGGGAUAACUUCAGGAAACUGGGGCUAAUACCGGAUAGGAGCUCCUGCUGCAUGGUGGGGGUUGGAAAGUUUCGGCGGUUGGGGAUGGACUCGCGGCUUAUCAGCUUGUUGGUGGGGUAGUGGCUUACCAAGGCUUUGACGGGUAGCCGGCCUGAGAGGGUGACCGGCCACAUUGGGACUGAGUUACGGCCCAGACUCCUACGGGAGGCAGCAGUGGGGAAUAUUGCACAAUGGGCGGAAGCCUGAUGCAGCAACGCCGCGUGCGGGAUGACGGCCUUCGGGCUGUAAACCGCUUUCGCCUGUGACGAAGCGUGAGUGACGGUAAUGGGUAAAGAAGCACCGGCUAACUACGUG